AACUAAUGAGACAAAAACGAAAGAUAAAGACAAACCAACCAAAACAUGCUGAAACAAGUACAACUAAGCAAAAAAUUAAAAAAUAAAUUAAAAAUAUUAUUAUAAUAUGACACAAAAACAAAGCAACAACAGCAAAAAAAAGAAACAGAUAACAACUACAAAUGUAUAUAUAGCUAUACAGAAAACAGUUGGAUCGAUUGAAUGGCUAUUUAAGGUGGCUGGAUAUAUAAAAUUAAAUGACACUGACGUUGCGCGCAAACAAGACGGCAAAACUGUAUGAUGUACGACGAGUACUACGAUGCACGAGCUACGAGUACGGUACAGUAGAUGCCAAGCGAAAUGAUUGCCCCAGAGCAGCUAACGAAUAAGUAAUCAAUUUAGAAUGUUUUUUGGUUUUUUAUCUUUUUUUUUUUUGAAAAUUACUGUACCUUAUAUAUGAUUUGUAUGUAUGUAUGUAUGUAUAGAGAAGGUAUGUAUUUGUGUUGGUAUUGUAAUAUGUAUGGGUUAUGGUUUCAUAAAAUGUAUCUAACUUACUAUCACUCUACUUAUAGCUAUGCGGACAAAAGCGACGGACAGUACGUUGUGCCAUUUGGUAUAGCUGGAUAGCCGGACAGCUGCAGAAUGAGAUAGAAAUGUGAAAAUUUUGCCAUUUUAUUACACGGCAAGAAGAACGAUUUUAAUAUGAUAAUAAUUAUAAUUUAUUAUACCAUUUCGUAUUGGCAAAACGAAUGUGUAGGACGAGGCACAUCAUGGUAUGGUAUUGUAGGGCGGCGGACCAAUAAAGAAGCAAGCAACUAUAUCAUAUAUACAAAGUAUAGUAAGUUAGUUGGUAUACUUACAAGCUACAAUGAUGAUAUGUAAGUAUAGCUAUGGAUAGAGACUGAAUACAUUCUAUUAUGUUAUGGAAAGUGUAGAAGACGACGUGUACAGAGACAGGCAUUGUACAAAGUACAGAUACAGAGCACAAUGUAGUUGAAAGUACGUUGGAGCACAGAGCUCAGAGCUAACAAAUCAAGCAUCCAUAUACGAAGUAGAAGCAGCAGAGAGAAGCGCAAACAAAAACAUACUUAUAGCGAAUCCAGUUGGGUUGGUUGGUUGCUUGCUUGGAUGACGAUGAUGACGACGACGACGACGUUGAAAGUUGAUUGUAAUGGCAGAUAAAUACGAAUACGACUGUGUUGUCGACGACGAUGGUAGAACGACGAUAUGAAACCGACCGACCGGCUUACAGACGACACGAAUGCCGAAACAAAUGUGAGAAUGCUGUUUUGCGACGUAGCAACGUAGCAACGUGGCGGACAUUAAAUGGGAGGCGUUGGCACGCCACUGAUUUAUAAAACCAGCUAGCUAGCUAGCCGCCAGGCAAACCACCGAAACAGUCAGUCAGUUAGUUAGGCAAUGGAGCCACAGCUAACCAACGAACCAACCAAGCAACGAAACAACUAACCAAUCUAUAAAAUCAGCCAACUACCUAUACAAUACACAGCUAGUGUGUACCUAUACAACGGUGGAUACUUUGAAAACUCGCAUUACAGAUGCACUCAUACAGACAUAAAAAAUAUAUAUCCAUACAGUUAGAGAUAGAUGUAUGCAUACAGCCAGCCGAAAACCCGAUGUUUGCGCUUACUUAUAUAUAUGAAUGUAGAGUGCACUUGGACUCAUCGUAUAAGUCAUUAUAAGUAAAACGCUCUAUAAAGCGAACUUUAUACUGUGUAUAGGGAGACUAUACGUAGUUACAGAUGUCGCUGUGCGGCAAUUCGUGUAAAUAUCUCUGCAGAAUAUUGUAUUUCCAUGUGCUAUGUGUAACCAGCGAAUGUAUCUACUAUAUAGGUAUACAUAUAUGUACAUAUAAAUA
Bactrocera dorsalis (oriental fruit fly) is the source of this 1855-nucleotide long non-coding RNA. RefSeq lists it as uncharacterized. The record is from RefSeq and is a predicted model, not a curated record. NCBI's taxonomy places the organism in Eukaryota, Metazoa, Arthropoda, Insecta, Diptera, Tephritidae. The transcript has 2 exons.